GACUUAUAUUCUGUAGCAAGGUUAACCGUAUAGGGGAGCCGAAGGGAAACCGAGUCUUAACUGGGCGUUAAGUUGCAGGGUAUAGACCCGAAACCCGGUGAUCUAGCCAUGGGCAGGUUGAAGGUUGGGUAACACUAACUGGAGGACCGAACCGACUAAUGUUGAAAAAUUAGCGGAUGACUUGUGGCUGGGGGUGAAAGGCCAAUCAAACCGGGAGAUAGCUGGUUCUCCCCGAAAGCUAUUUAGGUAGCGCCUCGUGAACUCAUCUUCGGGGGUAGAGCACUGUUUCGGCUAGGGGGUCAUCCCGACUUACCAACCCGAUGCAAACUGCGAAUACCGAAGAAUGUUAUCACGGGAGACACACGGCGGGUGCUAACGUCCGUCGUGAAGAGGGAAACAACCCAGACCGCCAGCUAAGGUCCCAAAGUCACAGUUAAGUGGGAAACGAUGUGGGAAGGCUCAGACAGCCAGGAUGUUGGCUUAGAAGCAGCCAUCAUUUAAAGAAAGCGUAAUAGCUCACUGGUCGAGUCGGCCUGCGCGGAAGAUGUAACGGGGCUAAACUGUGCACCGAAGCUGCGGCAGCGACGCUUAUGCGUUGUUGGGUAGGGGAGCGUUCUGUAAGCCUGCGAAGGUGUCCUGUGAGGGAUGCUGGAGGUAUCAGAAGUGCGAAUGCUGACAUAAGUAACGAUAA
This 691-nucleotide ribosomal RNA is filed under the name Salmonella enterica. RNAcentral's name for it is "partial 23S ribosomal RNA". It matches the Rfam family "Bacterial large subunit ribosomal RNA", at positions 625 to 1315 of the family's 2925-position model. RNAcentral also lists the same sequence under 1 other name. Lineage: Bacteria; Pseudomonadati; Pseudomonadota; Gammaproteobacteria; Enterobacterales; Enterobacteriaceae. The record is from RNAcentral.